UUGCCAGACUCCUACGGGAGGCAGCAGUGGGGAAUAUUGCACAAUGGGGGAAACCCUGAUGCAGCGACGCCGCGUGAGCGAUGAAGUAUUUCGGUAUGUAAAGCUCUAUCAGCAGGGAAGAAAAUGACGGUACCUGACUAAGAAGCCCCGGCUAACUACGUGCCAGCAGCCGCGGUAAUACGUAUGGAGCAAGCGUUAUCCGGAUUUACUGGGUGUAAAGGGAGCGCAGGCGGCCUUGCAAGUCUGAUGUGAAAGGCCGGGGCCCAACCCCGGGACUGCAUUGGGAACUGGCGCGCUGGAGUGCCGGAGGGGUAGGCGGAAUUCCUAGUGUAGCGGUGAAAUGCGUAGAUAUUAGGAGGAACACCAGUGGCGAAGGCGGCCUACUGGACGGUGACUGACGCUGAGGCUCGAAAGCGUGGGGAGCAAACAGGAUUAGAUACCCUUGUA
This 447-nucleotide ribosomal RNA is filed under the name uncultured bacterium. RNAcentral describes it as "partial 16S ribosomal RNA". It matches the Rfam family "Bacterial small subunit ribosomal RNA", at positions 328 to 792 of the family's 1533-position model. The record is from RNAcentral.